Small nucleolar RNA from Arachis stenosperma, 81 nucleotides. Lineage: Eukaryota; Viridiplantae; Streptophyta; Magnoliopsida; Fabales; Fabaceae. The record is from RefSeq and is a predicted model, not a curated record.
AUGAGAUAUGAGGAUGCUUAUCCAUCUAUUUUGUAAUAGAAUCAUGCAUGACUCAAAACAUACACUACCAUCUGAUCUCAU